This is a long non-coding RNA of Thalassophryne amazonica, 176 nucleotides long. RefSeq lists it as uncharacterized. The transcript has 3 exons. The record is from RefSeq and is a predicted model, not a curated record. Lineage: Eukaryota; Metazoa; Chordata; Actinopteri; Batrachoidiformes; Batrachoididae.
GUGAGCACGAGGAUGCUGGUGUUUGGAUGUUUUAUUGAUGCUUGUAGGAGAAUGAAUGAAUAAUAUAUAUUUUUUAUUUUCUUCCCUACACUGGAUGGAUUUGUUUUAUUUUUGACUGUUAGCAGCACUGACUGAAAACUAUUGGAUAAAUAAAAAAAGUAAGAAAAAUAAAGGUU